RNAcentral lists this long non-coding RNA (250 nucleotides) under Gossypium raimondii (Peruvian cotton). RNAcentral describes it as "long non-coding RNA (GRAI_LNC008436)". Lineage: Eukaryota; Viridiplantae; Streptophyta; Magnoliopsida; Malvales; Malvaceae. The record is from RNAcentral.
AUUUUUUUAUAUUUGUUCUUUUCGUUUUAUUAUUAUUAUUAUUAUUUAAAAACUGUUUACUUUUUUUGUGUUUAACCCUUUUUUAAAAAUUUAAUCAAAUUCCUUAUUAAUUUAAUUUAUUUAUUUAACACUUCCACUCUUUUGUUCCCACAUUUUUGUUUUUUUAUUUAUUAUUUGUCAUUUUCGUUUAUUGCCCUUAUUUUUAUAUCACUUUCAUUAGUCUCAACACAUAUAUAUAUUUCAAUAAUCC